This 72-nucleotide transfer RNA is filed under the name Sillago aeolus (oriental sillago). RNAcentral's name for it is "tRNA-Pro". It matches the Rfam family "tRNA". Rfam says of the family: Transfer RNA (tRNA) molecules are approximately 80 nucleotides in length. Their secondary structure includes four short double-helical elements and three loops (D, anti-codon, and T loops). RNAcentral also lists the same sequence under 1 other name. The record is from RNAcentral. Lineage: Eukaryota; Metazoa; Chordata; Actinopteri; Sillaginidae.
CAGAGAGUAGUUUAACGCUAAGAAUGCUAGCUUUGGGAGUUGGUGGUGGCGGUUGGAUGCCGUUCUCUCUGA